CCCGAGGCCGCCCCCAGGUGUGUCCCAGGUGUGUCCCCUGUCCCCAGGUGUGUCCCAGGUGUGUGUUUAUCCCCCCAGGUGUGUCCCUCACCUGCCCCACGAUGUCAGACACGUGUGACACGGUGGUCCCUGAGGCCGCCCCCAGGUGUGUCCCAGGUGUGUCCCAGGUGUGUCACCUGUCCCCAGGUGUGUCCCCAGGUGUGUCCCAGGUGUGUGUUACCUGUCCCAGGUGUGUCCCAGGUGUGUCCCCUGUCCCCAGGUGUGUCUCACCUGCCCCACGAUGUCAGACACGUGUGACACGGUGGUCCCCGAGGCCGCCCCCAGGUGUGUCCCAGGUGUGUCCCC
Long non-coding RNA from Myiozetetes cayanensis, 345 nucleotides. RefSeq lists it as uncharacterized. Lineage: Eukaryota; Metazoa; Chordata; Aves; Passeriformes; Tyrannidae. The transcript is spliced from 6 exons. The record is from RefSeq and is a predicted model, not a curated record.